This 253-nucleotide ribosomal RNA is filed under the name uncultured Plesiocystis sp. RNAcentral's name for it is "partial 16S ribosomal RNA". It matches the Rfam family "Bacterial small subunit ribosomal RNA", at positions 524 to 776 of the family's 1533-position model. The record is from RNAcentral. Lineage: Bacteria; Pseudomonadati; Myxococcota; Nannocystales; Nannocystaceae.
UACAGAGGGUGCAAACGUUGCUCGGAAUUAUUGGGCGUAAAGCGCACGUAGGCGGUUUUGUAAGUUGGAUGUGAAAACCCUGGGCUCAACCUUGGAAGUGCAUCCAAAACUGCGAGACUGGAGUGCCGGAGGGGGUCGGAGAAUUCCCGGUGUAGAGGUGAAAUUCGUAGAUAUCGGGAGGAACAUCUGUGGCGAAGGCGCCGACCUGGACGGUAACUGGCGCUGAGGUGCGAAAGCAUGGGGAGCAAACAGG